CCGUGCUGGAGCGGCGACGAGUGCGAAUGCCGGCACGAGUAGCGGAAGGGCGGUGAGAAUCCGCCCCGCCGGAGAGUGCCGAAGGGUUCCGCAGCGAUGGUCGUCAGCUGCGGGUGAGGCGGUCCUCAGCUGAGGGCGGAAGCCGUAGGCGAGGGGCAGCCGGUUAAGAUUCCGGCCCCACCGGCGCCCGUGUGAGCGAAGGGGGGACGCUCCACUGAGGGUCUGGCGGUCGGAGGGACCGUCCAAGCCUGGGUCGUGGGCCGAGGGAAAGCCCGGCCGGGGAGCGGCACCAGGCGAGUGCGAGGUGGGGGUGAAGCCCUGCCGAGCAGACCUGGCGGUGGAGCCGAGAAAAGCCUCUAGCGAGGGCGGCGGUGACCGUACCGCAAACCGACACAGGUCGGCGCGUGGAGGACACGGAGGCGAGCGGGAGAACCCCCGUCAAGGAACUCGGCAAAUUGCCCCCGUAACUUCGGGAGAAGGGGGGCCCCGGUAGGGUGGUGAGCCCGAGGGGGUUGCAGAGAGCAGGCCCGCGCGACUGGUUACCAAAACCACAGGUCUCGGCGAAGGCGGAAAGCCGACGUAUCGGGGCUGACGCCUGCCCAGUGCCGGAAGGUGAACCGGAGGGGUGGAGAGCCCCGAAGGGAAGCCCCGGUGAACGGCGGCCGUAACUAUAACGGUCCUAAGGUAGCGAAAUUCCUCGUCGGGUAAAUUCCGACCCGCACGAAAGGCGUCACGACGUGGGCACUGUCUCGACGGGGGGCCCGGUGAAACUGCUGGACCCGUGCAGAAGCGGGUGACCCGCGGCGGGACAAAAAGACCCCGUGGAGCUUGACUGCAGCUUGCCAUUGGGUGCGGGCCCGGCCUGUGCAGGAUAGGUGGGAGGCGGGGAAGCGGGGCCGCCAGGUCCCGUGGAGCCGGCGGUGAGAUACCACCCUGGUCGGGUUUGCGCCCUCACCUGGCCCGUGGGAACGCGGGCAGGGACCGUGGCUGGUGGGCAGUUUGACUGGGGCGGUCGCCUCCUAAAAGGUAACGGAGGCGCCCAAAGGUCCCCUCAGGCCGGAUGGCAAUCGGCCGGAGCGUGCAUGGGCAGCAAGGGGGCUUGACUGCGAGGGGGACAUCCCGAGCAGGGCCGAAAGGCGGGCCAAGUGACCCCACGGUACCGAGUGGGCGGGCCGUGGAUCAACGGAUAAAAGCUACCCCGGGGAUAACAGGCUGAUCGGGCCCAAGAGUUCACAUCGACGGCCCGGUUUGGCACCUCGAUGUCGGCUCGUCGCAUCCUGGGGCUGGAGGAGGUCCCAAGGGUUGGGCUGUUCGCCCAUGAAAGCGGCACGUGAGCUGGGUUCAGAACGUCGUGAGACAGUUCGGUCUCUAUCCGCCGCGGGCGGUGGACGGUUGCGGGGAGCUGGCCCUAGUACGAGAGGACCGGGCUGGACGGACCGCUGGUGUGCCAGUUGUCGGCCAACCGGCAGCGCUGGGUAGCCAGGUCCGGACGGGAUAACCGCUGACAGCAUCUAAGCGGGAAGCCCACCCCAAGAUGAGCCGUCCCACCCCACCAAGGGGGUAAGGCCCCGGGGAGAUGACCCGGUAGCGAGGCGGCAGGUGGACAGCGGGUAACCGACUGGAGCCGAGCCGUCCUCAUG
RNAcentral lists this ribosomal RNA (1640 nucleotides) under bacterium HR28. RNAcentral's name for it is "bacterial LSU rRNA". It matches the Rfam family "Bacterial large subunit ribosomal RNA", at positions 1268 to 2906 of the family's 2925-position model. The record is from RNAcentral.